UCCCUUUCUCCACCUGGAGAGAGGGUGAAAGAUGGCUUCGGCUAUCACUAGGGGAUGGGCCCGCGGCGCAUUAGCUAGUUGGUAAGGUAACGGCUUACCAAGGCGACGAUGCGUAGCCGACCUGAGAGGGUGAUCGGCCACACUGGGACUGAGACACGGCCCAGACUCCUACGGGAGGCAGCAGUAGGGAAUCUUCCGCAAUGGACGAAAGUCUGACGGAGCAACGCCGCGUGAGUGAGGAAGGCCUUCGGGUCGUAAAGCUCUGUUGUGAGGGAAGAAGCGGUACCGUUCGAAUAGGGCGGUACCUUGACGGUACCUCACCAGAAAGCCACGGCUAACUACGUGCCAGCAGCCGCGGUAAUACGUAGGUGGCAAGCGUUGUCCGGAAUUAUUGGGCGUAAAGCGCGGCGCAGGCGGCUUCUUAAAGUCUGAUGUGAAAUCUCGGGGCUCAACCCCGAGGCGGUCCAUUGGAAACUGGGGAGCUUGAGUGCAGAAGAGGAGAGUGGAAUUCCACGUGUAGCGGUGAAAUGCGUAGAGAUGUGGAGGAACACCAGUGGCGAAGGCGACUCUCUGGUCUGUAACUGACGCU
Molecule: ribosomal RNA, 589 nt
Filed under: Shouchella clausii
Lineage: Bacteria; Bacillati; Bacillota; Bacilli; Caryophanales; Bacillaceae
Description: bacterial SSU rRNA
Rfam family: Bacterial small subunit ribosomal RNA
Source: RNAcentral